UAGUGGAGCAGUUUUUCUGCUUAAUUUCCAUAACGAACGAGAUCCGAGUCCACUUAUAAUAACGGGUAGCAUUAGUUUUCCACUGAUCUUUGUGUUCACUUCACCGUAGAACACUGGUUUUAGCGGUUAACCUAUGCAAGUCCGCUUUAUAGAGGCACAAUAUGCGAUAUAAUAGCAUAUAGAAGUUGGACCAUAACA
This 198-nucleotide ribosomal RNA is filed under the name uncultured eukaryote. RNAcentral describes it as "partial 18S ribosomal RNA". The record is from RNAcentral.